This is a long non-coding RNA of Mangifera indica (mango), 996 nucleotides long. RefSeq lists it as uncharacterized. The transcript has 3 exons. The record is from RefSeq and is a predicted model, not a curated record. NCBI's taxonomy places the organism in Eukaryota, Viridiplantae, Streptophyta, Magnoliopsida, Sapindales, Anacardiaceae.
UUUAAAUCUUAUUUUUUGAUCUUUUGUUUCUGAAACUCAUAGGAAAUCAGGAAAAAUUGUAAACGUGAACCAUUCAAUCCUCCCUAGAAGUCGGAAAAGCUAUACCCAUUUUGGUGAUGAUAAGUUCUCAGGGCUCUUCGUCUGGCAUUGCCUAUCACAAGUGUAGCCAAUUGCCCCUACCUUCAAAACCUAAACAACAUUUAGGGAAAUGUUGAAUCUGCAAGUGCAUUGUUGCAGCUUCUUUUAUGUUCUCAACUUUUAGAUUAUAAUUAUGAAUCACUUUUGUCUCCAUUAACUACUCAGGUGCAUUCAAGUAACCAAUUGUUUUUGCCUUUAAUAAGUACAGAUACAAGCAACCACAGCAACAUUUAGGAUAUUUUCUUUGAAGUGGGAUGCAAAUGACAGAUAUAGGAUUCUUGGAUACUUAUUACAGUAUAUCGUAUACAGGAAAUGGCAUGUAAGAUUAUUAUAAUUAUUUAUAAAAUCAGCUUCUUUCCUGCCAAACCUGGGUACACCUGGUAGCCCUUGUGAAUUGCCGGAGUUGAUGAAGUCUAUGGAACAGUUUUCAGAGGUGGUGGUUCUUCUAUGUUGAGUUUCCUUAGUGCCAUCUUUAAAAAGCAGCUACAAGAACCCAACUGAAUCCAUGUGACUUUCAAAAGCAGCUGCUUUUGGUUAUGAUGAUACUUGGUGCAGUUUGUAACGACAAAUCAAGUUCUGGGUUCAGUUCUUUCCCUGAUUUUCAUCAUGAUUUGAUCAGAAUUCUAUGAUUAUUGUAACUUUAUAUCAUUUACAAUUGCAAGCAAUCAGUUGAUUAGUUUGCCUACGUUUAAUUAAAUAUGAACUUGUUACUUCAUCUGUUGCUUAUUUCUGUUGAAAGAGGUGGCAGGCCAGAUUAAGAAAAUGACUCUGAAAAUCCGCCGGCCCUCCUUGAGAUAUUGAGUUGAUAAAGUAUGCAGAACAGUUUUUAGAGGUGAGGCAUGAUAAAUACAUAGUUUU